GCCCUCAGUAAAUAUUUUAAUUGAAUAAGUAUUAAUCAAUAAUUAGUAACAAAGCAAAAUAUGAUGUAUUUUAUGAUUCUUUCAUUCAAAUUUUAAAAUUUAAGGUAUUCUAUUAUCUGAUGAAAAGUAUUAUCCAACAAAUUAAAGAGUUAUUUUCUGAUAUUUUCUCUGGGCCCCAUGUAUUAAGAUCAGAUUGGAAAUGAUAAGUAUUAUUCCUGAAAAUAAAGUGGCAGUCUCUCCAUAGUUCAACGUGAUGAAAUCUAAAUUAUUCUCACAGAAGUAACCACAUCAAACAUAUGAUGUGAAUUAAACACUAGCAGAUGUUCCUCAUUUAGAGAGUUCAGGUGCAAAGAAAAGACACGGUAUACAGACAGAAGAUGCAGUUAGCCUUGUUAUGAAAUUAUCAAAAAUUGGUGUUUGAAGUGUUUCUGGUCAGUGAAAUUAACACAUUUAUUAUAUUAAUUUUUAAUGUACAAAAAUUUUUAAGUGAAUUUAUACUGAAAUUAUUUAACAACUAUUUUAUACUUGACCAGUCUUACCAGCGCAGUAUGUUAAAGAUUUAAAAUCUGUUGUUCCCUAUUUGAAAUUAGAGGGUUCUGUAUAAAUGCAGCUCAAAGCACUAAAAUUAUUUUCUUUGAAAAUUCUUCUAUAGGUGCUGAAACGGUUCAAGCAGAGUCUAAAUACAGAAACACACACUUCUUCUAUAUUAAAUUGUGGAUUACAGAAAACAAAUCUUUAGAAAUUGAAACUUGUUUGAUUUUGAUGGGAAACUGGGAGUUCUGGAAAGUGACUUUGGCAUGAAAUGAUGUUAUUUGUUUUCACCUCUUCUAUUAAAUGGAGAAUAUCCUUCAAAAGAUUGAGAGAUGACAGACCAGAUGGCAGUCCCGUUGGAAGUGAUCUAAGAAGCUCUGGUAUCACCACUCCUGCCCUGGUAAGACAUUAAAUUUAUGCUUUGAAUUAUCUGUGCUGCCUUUACAUGUCUACAGAGUUAAGCUUUUGGA
RNAcentral lists this long non-coding RNA (1001 nucleotides) under Bos indicus x Bos taurus (hybrid cattle). RNAcentral's name for it is "lncRNA (ENSBIXG00005011372.1)". Lineage: Eukaryota; Metazoa; Chordata; Mammalia; Artiodactyla; Bovidae. The record is from RNAcentral.